RNAcentral lists this ribosomal RNA (253 nucleotides) under uncultured bacterium. Its description in RNAcentral is "partial 16S ribosomal RNA". It matches the Rfam family "Bacterial small subunit ribosomal RNA", at positions 524 to 776 of the family's 1533-position model. The record is from RNAcentral.
UACAGAGGGGGCCAGCGUUAUUCGGAAUUAUUGGGCGUAAAGGGCGCGUAGGCGGCCUUGCGUGUCUUUCGUGAAAUCCCUCGGCUUAACUGAGGACGUGCGGAAGAAACUGCAGGGCUUGAGUCCGGGAGAGGGGGGUGGAAUUCCCAGUGUAGCGGUGAAAUGCGUAGAUAUUGGGAGGAACACCGGUGGCGAAGGCGGCUCACUGGCUCGUAUCUGACGCUCAGGCGCGACAGCGUGGGGAUCAAACAGG